This 468-nucleotide ribosomal RNA is filed under the name uncultured bacterium. Its description in RNAcentral is "partial 16S ribosomal RNA". It matches the Rfam family "Bacterial small subunit ribosomal RNA", at positions 28 to 507 of the family's 1533-position model. The record is from RNAcentral.
GAUGAACGCUGGCGGCGUGCUUAACACAUGCAAGUCGAACGGGGAACACGGAGCUUGCUCUGUGGGAUCAGUGGCGAACGGGUGAGUAACACGUGAGCAACCUGCCCCUGACUCUGGGAUAAGCGCUGGAAACGGCGUCUAAUACGGGAUAUGUGACGUGAUCGCAUGGUCUGCGUCUGGAAAGAAUUUCGGUUGGGGAUGGGCUCGCGGCCUAUCAGCUUGUUGGUUAGGUAGUGGCUCACCAAGGCGUCGACGGGUAGCCUGCCUGAGAGGGUGACCGGACAAACCGGACCUGAGCCACGGCACAGCCUAGACCGGGAGGCAGCAGUGGAGAAUAUUGCAUAAUGGGCUCAAGCCUGACGCAGUCACGCCGCGUGAGGGAUGACGGCCUUCGGGUUGUAAACCUAUUUUAGCAGAGAAGAAGCGAAAGUGACGGUACCGGCAGAAAAAGCGCCGGCUAACUACGUG